Molecule: ribosomal RNA, 550 nt
Filed under: uncultured bacterium
Lineage: Bacteria
Description: bacterial SSU rRNA
Rfam family: Bacterial small subunit ribosomal RNA
Source: RNAcentral
UAGGGAAUCUUCGGCAAUGGGGGCAACCCUGACCGAGCAACGCCGCGUGAGUGAAGAAGGUUUUCGGAUCGUAAAGCCCUGUUGUAAGUCAAGAACGAGUGUGAGAGUGGAAAGUCCACACUGUGACGGUAGCUUACCAGAAAGGGACGGCUAACUACGUGCCAGCAGCCGCGGUAAUACGUAGGUCCCGAGCGUUGUCCGGAUUUAUUGGGCGUAAAGCGAGCGCAGGCGGUUUGAUAAGUCUGAAGUUAAAGGCUGUGGCUCAACCAUAGUUCGCUUUGGAAACUGUCAAACUUGAGUGCAGAAGGGGAGAGUGGAAUUCCAUGUGUAGCGGUGAAAUGCGUAGAUAUAUGGAGGAACACCGGUGGCGAAAGCGGCUCUCUGGUCUGUAACUGACGCUGAGGCUCGAAAGCGUGGGGAGCGAACAGGAUUAGAUACCCUGGUAGUCCACGCCGUAAACGAUGAGUGCUAGGUGUUGGAUCCUUUCCGGGAUUCAGUGCCGCAGCUAACGCAUUAAGCACUCCGCCUGGGGAGUACGACCGCAAGGUUG